GACGAACGCUGGCGGCGUGCUUAACACAUGCAAGUCGAACGGAAAGGCCCUGCUUUUGUGGGGUGCUCGAGUGGCGAACGGGUGAGUAACACGUGAGUAACCUGCCCUUGACUUUGGGAUAACUUCAGGAAACUGGGGCUAAUACCGGAUAGGAGCUCCUGCUGCAUGGUGGGGGUUGGAAAGUUUCGGCGGUUGGGGAUGGUCUCGCGGCUUAUCAGCUUGUUGGUGGGGUAGUGGCUUACCAAGGCUUUGACGGGUAGCCGGCCUGAGAGGGUGAACGGGCUCCAUAGGACUAAGGGAGGGACCAGGAGCCAACCGGACGCAAGAGGGGGGAACAUUACAAAGCAGGGCGGAGCCAGAGACGACAAUCCCCGGUUCGGGAAGAACGGCUUUGGGGUGAGAACCGAUUUGUCCGUAACUCAAGACGUAGUGACGGUAAUGGGUAAAGAAGCACCGGCUAACUACGUG
RNAcentral lists this ribosomal RNA (468 nucleotides) under uncultured bacterium. RNAcentral's name for it is "partial 16S ribosomal RNA". It matches the Rfam family "Bacterial small subunit ribosomal RNA", at positions 28 to 507 of the family's 1533-position model. The record is from RNAcentral.